CGUGUAGGCGGCCUAGCCAGUACCUUGUGAAAUCCCUUGGCUCAACCGAGGAAUUGCUGGGUAUACUGCUGGGCUUGAGGCGGUUAGGGGUGCCUGGAACUCUAGGUGGAGCGGUGAAAUGCGUAGAUAUCUAGAGGAACGCCUGAGGCGAAAGCGGGGCACUGGGACCGAUCUGACGCUGAGACGCGAAAGCGUAGGGAGCGAACG
This 207-nucleotide ribosomal RNA is filed under the name uncultured bacterium. RNAcentral describes it as "partial 16S ribosomal RNA". It matches the Rfam family "Bacterial small subunit ribosomal RNA", at positions 568 to 774 of the family's 1533-position model. The record is from RNAcentral.